ACCCUUUUUUUGGUUCAUAAGGUGAUGAUUGGGUGUUUACGUACCUGUGUGACAUGUGCCGCCCUCAAACCUUGUUAUACAUUGGCACAUUACCCAUCUUAGG
Small nucleolar RNA from Nannospalax galili (Upper Galilee mountains blind mole rat), 103 nucleotides. RefSeq annotates it as small nucleolar RNA U13. The record is from RefSeq and is a predicted model, not a curated record. Lineage: Eukaryota; Metazoa; Chordata; Mammalia; Rodentia; Spalacidae. The transcript has a single exon.